GAUGAACGCUGGCGGCGUGCUUAACACAUGCAAGUCGAACGGAAAGGCUCCUGCUUGCCGGGGUACUCGAGUGGCGAACGGGUGAGUAACACGUGGGUGAUCUGCCCUGCACUUCGGGAUAAGCCUGGGAAACUGGGUCUAAUACCGGAUAGGACCACAUUUUGGAUGGUGUGGUGGAAAGUUUUUCGGUGUGGGAUGAGCUCGCGGCCUAUCAGCUUGUUGGUGGGGUAAUGGCCUACCAAGGCGUCGACGGGUAGCCGGCCUGAGAGGGUGUACGGCCACAUUGGGACUGAGAUACGGCCCAGACUCCUACGGGAGGCAGCAGUGGGGAAUAUUGCACAAUGGGCGCAAGCCUGAUGCAGCGACGCCGCGUGGGGGAUGACGGCCUUCGGGUUGUAAACUCCUUUCGCUAGGGACGAAGAGCAAGUGACGGUACCUGGAGAAGAAGCACCGGCUAACUACGUG
This 465-nucleotide ribosomal RNA is filed under the name uncultured bacterium. Its description in RNAcentral is "partial 16S ribosomal RNA". It matches the Rfam family "Bacterial small subunit ribosomal RNA", at positions 28 to 507 of the family's 1533-position model. The record is from RNAcentral.